RNAcentral lists this ribosomal RNA (78 nucleotides) under Leptospira borgpetersenii serovar Ballum. Its description in RNAcentral is "partial 16S ribosomal RNA". It matches the Rfam family "Bacterial small subunit ribosomal RNA", at positions 1 to 78 of the family's 1533-position model. Lineage: Bacteria; Pseudomonadati; Spirochaetota; Leptospiria; Leptospirales; Leptospiraceae. The record is from RNAcentral.
AAAUUGAAGAGUUUGAUCAUGGCUCAGAUUGAACGCUGGCGGCAGGCCUAACACAUGCAAGUCGAGCGGUAACACAAG